This 468-nucleotide ribosomal RNA is filed under the name uncultured bacterium. RNAcentral's name for it is "partial 16S ribosomal RNA". It matches the Rfam family "Bacterial small subunit ribosomal RNA", at positions 28 to 507 of the family's 1533-position model. The record is from RNAcentral.
GACGAACGCUGGCGGCGUGCUUAACACAUGCAAGUCGAACGGAAAGGCCCUGCUUUUGGGGGGUGCUCGAGUGGCGAACGGGUGAGUAACACGCGAGUAACCUGCCCUUGACUUUGGGAUAACUUCAGGAAACUGGGGCUAAUACCGGAUAGGAGCUCCUGCUGCAUGGUGGGGGUUGGAAAGUUUCGGCGGUUGGGGAUGGACUCGCGGCUUAUCAGCUUGUUGGUGGGGUAGUGGCUUACCAAGGCUUUGACGGGUAGCCGGCCUGGGAGGGUGACCGGCCACAUUGGGACUGAGAUACGGCCCAGACUCCUACGGGAGGCAGCAGUGGGGAAUAUUGCACAAUGGGCGGAAGCCUGAUGCAGCAACGCCGCGUGCGGGAUGACGGCCUUCGGGUUGUAAACCGCUUUCGCCUGUGACGAAGCGUGAGUGACGGUAAUGGGUAAAGAAGCACCGGCUAACUACGUG